This is a long non-coding RNA of Xyrauchen texanus (razorback sucker), 381 nucleotides long. RefSeq lists it as uncharacterized. The transcript is spliced from 4 exons. The record is from RefSeq and is a predicted model, not a curated record. NCBI's taxonomy places the organism in Eukaryota, Metazoa, Chordata, Actinopteri, Cypriniformes, Catostomidae.
UCAACUAGCAUGGCUGCGGUAUCAAGAAAGUCUCAAUGGACUGAAGAAAUUGAGAAAUUAGAGGAACAUUGGCAGUAGCACCAGCGCCUAAUUUGAUGAUUCAUCUAAACUUUACCACAACCGAGUGGGAAAGAGAAGAGUUGGAGAGAAAUUGCCAAUUCUCUUGGACAGUCAGUGGCGGAGAAUUCCCGCUGAUUUUUCACUGGAGAGAUGCUCAGGUGUCACUCAUGCGGCAGGCAACAGGAUAGGGUCAUAUAAAUUCUAGUCCUGGCAGGUCUACAACUAUAACUGAAAGAAGAGUCAUCAGAGGUUUUCAAGGGCAAAAACAAAAAAAGGAAGAGGAGCUUGACCAAGCACAGAAAGGAGCAGAUGCCAUCAAUG